AACCGGCGAGCAGCUCGGCCGGGGAACCAAAAUCACCCUCUACCUCAAAGAGGACCAGUUGAAAUACUUGGAAGAGAGGAGAAUUAAGGAUCUGGUGAAGAAGCACUCGGAGUUCAUCAGCUAUCCGAUCUAUUUAUGGACAGAGAAGACCACCGAGAAAGAAAUUAGUGACGAUGAGGACGAUGAGGAAU
Molecule: long non-coding RNA, 191 nt
Organism: Zingiber officinale
Lineage: Eukaryota; Viridiplantae; Streptophyta; Magnoliopsida; Zingiberales; Zingiberaceae
Exons: 2
Source: RefSeq, a predicted model, not a curated record